CUGUCCACCUUGGCCUUGGGCCACAGCUUCCCCCAUCCCUCCAAGCCUGCCCCAGUUCCCAGUUCUGUUUCUCCAGCUGGAGCCCAGGGGCUCAGCAGCCGAGCUGAAGGCAGAGCUCAGCGUGGGUCAGUGCUGCGCUUCAGGGUCUGCCAGCCUCCCUUGAACUCUGGAGGCAUAAUUAGGGAUAAUAGCCAGUGGAUCAAAUUUAAGUGCCCAACAUAAAGGAUAAGGUAUAGAGCAUUCUAAAGCGUUUUGUGUAUGUUAGCUCUUCAUUAUUUUCAAUCAAGGCUGCAAAUGAGCUGUGUAAGGAGAGUACAUCAGUGGAGAUUGCUGUGUGGUUGAAGUGCAUGGAAUAUGAAGACAUUUCAAGUAAUGCAUGCUGGAAGAGAAACUGUCUGACACCCAAACAGUCUGAGUUUUAAGCAUUUAAUUAAGGAUCUUCUAUAUUCAGAAAGAUGCAAAACCCAAUAAAAAACUGUAUUCAACUGAA
Molecule: long non-coding RNA, 490 nt
Organism: Cyanistes caeruleus (blue tit)
Lineage: Eukaryota; Metazoa; Chordata; Aves; Passeriformes; Paridae
Source: RefSeq, a predicted model, not a curated record